Molecule: ribosomal RNA, 253 nt
Filed under: uncultured bacterium
Lineage: Bacteria
Description: partial 16S ribosomal RNA
Rfam family: Bacterial small subunit ribosomal RNA
Source: RNAcentral
UACAGAGGUCUCGAGCGUUAGGCGGAAUCACUGGGCUUAAAGCGUGUGUAGGCGGAUCGUUAAGUACCUUGUGAAAUCCCACGGCUUAACCGUGGAACUGCUUGGUAUACUGGCGGUCUUGAGCCAGCUAGGGGCUACCGGAACAAAUGGUGGAGCGGUGAAAUGCGUAGAUAUCAUUUGGAACGCCAAUGGUAAAAACAGGUAGCUGGGGCUGUGCUGACGCUGAGACACGAAAGCCAGGGGAGCAAACGGG